GUAGGGUGCGAGCGUUAAUCGGAAUUACUGGGCGUAAAGCGUGCGCAGGCGGUUCGUUGUGUCGGUGGUGAAAGCCCCGGGCUUAACCUGGGAAUGGCCAUGGAAACUGGCGAACUGGAGUGUGGCAGAGGGGGGUGGAAUUCCGCGUGUAGCAGUGAAAUGCGUAGAGAUGCGGAGGAACACCGAUGGCGAAGGCAGCCCCCUGGGCUAGCACUGACGCUCAGGCACGAAAGCGUGGGGAGCAAACAGGAUUAGAUACCCUGGUAGUCCACGCCCUAAACCAUGUCAACUGGGUGUUCGGGAAGCGAUUUCUGAGUACCGUAGCUAACGCGUGAAGUUGACCGCCUGGGGAGUACGGCCGCAAGGUUA
This 369-nucleotide ribosomal RNA is filed under the name uncultured bacterium. RNAcentral describes it as "bacterial SSU rRNA". It matches the Rfam family "Bacterial small subunit ribosomal RNA", at positions 527 to 896 of the family's 1533-position model. The record is from RNAcentral.